UGGGCCUCCAGCUUCAGAACCUCUGGGGGCUUCAGCACCCUCAUCCCCUCUGCACGCCACCUCGCGUUUACGAGAACAUUCAGUAUGGGCCACGCGACUCGGCGUUCAAACCCGUGACUCCGGUUGAUCGAUGACAUUCAAAGGGAACGUGUGACUCUCUGGACUUCAACGAAUUCUUACAUGAAACUUGGAAGAAGAGGCCUUACGGAAUGCUUUGGCAGCGACUCUCUUAUCUACAAUUCAAAGGAAAGAAGGAUUAUUUCCUGCUCUAGAGUUUGGGGUUGUCUCCCCCAUAAUGCUGUGGGGUUGAACCGUAGGCUCGUGGCCUUUUCAGAUGGGCUCCUUGCCCUCAGCAGUGCGCC
Molecule: non-coding RNA, 362 nt
Organism: Microcebus murinus (gray mouse lemur)
Lineage: Eukaryota; Metazoa; Chordata; Mammalia; Primates; Cheirogaleidae
Source: RefSeq, a predicted model, not a curated record